Culex quinquefasciatus (southern house mosquito) is the source of this 653-nucleotide long non-coding RNA. RefSeq lists it as uncharacterized. The record is from RefSeq and is a predicted model, not a curated record. The transcript is spliced from 2 exons. NCBI's taxonomy places the organism in Eukaryota, Metazoa, Arthropoda, Insecta, Diptera, Culicidae.
CUGAGUUUUUCUAUAAAUCUUAAUUUCAAACAUGGUUUUAUCAUGACUGUAGAUUUCUUAGUAGAAAAUUUAGUUUUACAACAAAUUUCACCAGAUUAAGUAUAAACUAAUUCCAUAACCUAACUUUCUUUGUUCGUUUAGCAUAUCUUCGCGAGUACAGUAAAAGAGUGAACCAAACUUCCAACUCCUCCGGCAAGAACACCAAGCUUUGAGAUUUUGAGAUUUCCUAGCCAUCGUCGCUACAGGUUCGGACCAGAAAGCCCUCCAGCAAGGAAGCGCCAGCAGAAACAGUAACCUGAUUCGUGAUCUUCCGCCGAUUCGCUGCCCCGAUCCCCGCGACCAAGAAAGGAUUCGCUGCUCCGGUUCCCGCGGCCAAGGAAGGAUUCGCUGCCUCGGUUCCCACGACCAAGGAAGGCCAGCGUUUGCGAUCGCUCGUGCACUACCCAACUUCUUCGAACGUCUCGGCUAGAUUCGGACCAAAAAGUCCUCCGACAAUGAAGCGCCAGCCGAAACAACAACCUGAUUCGGGAUCUUCCGGUGAUUCGCUGCCCCGGUUUCCGCGACCAAGAAAGGAUUCGCUGCUCCGGUUCCCGCGGCCAAGGAAGGAUUUGCUGCCUCAAGAUUGAAUAAAAAAGGUUCAUUGUUUUUGUUUA